Molecule: ribosomal RNA, 1035 nt
Filed under: Phacus warszewiczii
Lineage: Eukaryota; Euglenozoa; Euglenophyceae; Euglenales; Phacaceae
Description: partial 26S large subunit ribosomal RNA
Rfam family: Eukaryotic large subunit ribosomal RNA
Source: RNAcentral
GACGGGACCAGCUGGCUGGUGCCAUGAGGUGACUUCUGCCCAGUGCUCUGAUUGUCACUGCGAAGAGAUUCAGCCAAGCGCGGGUAAACGGCGGGAGUAACUAUGACUCUCUUAAGGUAGCCAAAUGCCUCGUCAACCAAUUAUUGACGCGCAUGAAUGGAUCAACGAGAUUCCUGCUGUCCCUAGGUGCUGUCCGGUGAACCCACAGCCAAGGGAACGGGCUUGGGGGUGUCAGCGGGGAAAGAAGACCCUGUUGAGUUUGACUCUAGUUUGAUGGUGUGCAACGACAUGUGGGGUGUAGCACAGGUGGGAGGCCAGUGCCAUGGAGUGCAGGAAGAUGUGUGUCGGCUCUUCGGGACAAUGGUGUGGCGCACCACAGAGAGUGGUGUGUGUGCCCACAGUCUCUCCUCUGGAAGUUAUGAAUGGUGCGAACCAGCAGUGAAAUACCACUACCUUCACCGUCGUUUUACUCAUCGAGUGGCUUGGGAACGGUGGCCAUUGGACAUCAGCCUCCGCAUGUCGGCAAUUCAUUGAAGGUUUGCGGGAGCUGUGGCCCUCUCCCGCUUCGUGUGCCAAGUGUGGACCACCUCGGUGGCCUGCACGACCCUGUGGGGUCUGAAACGGACCCUGUCCGUCUGUUUGCGCUUUUGGAGCCUCGGGACAAUGAUCAGUUGGGGAGUUUGGCUGGGGCGGCACGCCUGUUACAGGACAACGCAGGCGUCCUGAAGCAUUGCUCAGAUGGAAGGGAAAUCUUGCAUGGAGGAGCAGGCCAAAGGUGCUGCUGAUGCUGCGACCUUCAGUACAGGUCCAAAACGUGCAAGUGUGGCCUUGCGAUCCUUUGGUCAAGCGCACGGGUUCGGGAUAUUGAAGCCAGAGGUGUCAGAAAAAUUACCACAGGGAUAACUGGCUUGUGGCUGCCAAGCGUUCAAAGCGACGUCGCUUUUUGAUCCUUCGAUGUCGGCUCUUCCUAGCUUCCCACCCGCAGCCGAGUGGAAGAGUUGGAUUGUUCACCCACCAACAGGGAACGUGAGCUGG